GUACGCUGACCUCUUGAGAAUUUGUGGAAUGUGUCGUCGAGCGAGGAACUAUUUUUUUCUUUGCACUUCUGACGCUGGCGUAGAGAACGAUCAAACGAUACGAUUUAUAAAAAGGACCGGUUAUUCACAGUGAUCGCUAUGCAUCGUAAAAUCUUGAAACUGGCAUUAGGAAUGUAGGUCGAGUUCUUGAGCGUAGAUUGAUCAGGAAACGGAUUGGCGCCUUGGUAUAUCGAUUAGAAUGCAACGUGUGUCAAGUGGAAGCUGCUUUCUAUUGUUCUUCGUUAUCGCUGGUUAUCAAAUACUUCGCAUAUUAUUCUGUAUACCGUAUUUCCUUUAUUGAUAAAAUGGUGUUUGUGGUGUGUGAUUUAAUCAGUGAUUUCGCGAUUUAUCCGUGAAUUUGUUCCGAUUGCUCUACUUUGUGCAAUAUGUACAUUACGUUAAUAAUAAUACUAACAGGAAAGGGUCGAA
Molecule: unclassified non-coding RNA, 468 nt
Filed under: Bombus terrestris (buff-tailed bumblebee)
Lineage: Eukaryota; Metazoa; Arthropoda; Insecta; Hymenoptera; Apidae
Description: misc RNA ENSBTSG00005032326.1
Source: RNAcentral